Molecule: long non-coding RNA, 977 nt
Organism: Hyaena hyaena (striped hyena)
Lineage: Eukaryota; Metazoa; Chordata; Mammalia; Carnivora; Hyaenidae
Exons: 4
Source: RefSeq, a predicted model, not a curated record
UUAAAACAACCGGGAGCUCCACGGUUUCAGAACCACCCGUGUUCGUGUCUGCUGCAUGGGGGAAGUUAGAAUAUCUGCUUGGUAGGGUUGUGGUGCCCGUUACGUAGUUCGGCUAAUGGAAAGGGCUGAGCGUCGUGUCUGACUCGGGGCGAUGGUCGGGUCACAGCGACUUCUGAGAAGACGGACGUUCCUCUUUCCUGUGCUGAGGGUUUAACUUUGGGGGUGAAGGCGGCGUGCAUGUAAAGCCGUAGGCUCUUGUACCCCGUAAGGCGUCACGUCAGCCCAAGUGCCAACGGACGGUUGUGGGGACGGGGACAGAGAAACGCUGCCACCCUCCUGUUGGCCCCAGCAGCGCAACGUGAAGGGGGAGCCCCCCAGCCCCCACGCCUCAGGGGCGCGGAGGGAGCCGGUUAGCCGAGAGACAGGAAGGACAGUGCCGUGGAUCCCGGAAGUGUCAGGGCAGGGAGGCUCCUGGAGCUGGCCCAAGGAUGGACUGUCUCGUGUCACCUCGAAGCGCCUUCCUUGGUGGGACCCGUGGAGGCGGCCCUGGAGGCGCCCGGCAGCCGAUUCGGACACAGAAUCAUAAGGAUUAGUCUGCAGCCAGCAGAAAGGAAUAUCCCGCAGGAGGAAAAGAGGGAAGCUUUAGAAAUGUCAUCACAGAAGAGUCCUUGCAAUGAUAGAGGACGUCUGCUAUCACUGUGAUGGCGGGGAUCCGCAAGCUGGACCUAACAGGAGAUGAAAUCUAACCAGAGAAUGGCCUCCUGAGAUCAGAAGAUGCCACUGUGGACACUAAUAUCCCUCUAACUUCUGACAAUAACAUUUGGGGGUGAUUAGAGACGCCAAAACAUCUGUCCCAAAUAUCUUCAUCUGUAGACCAACCAGAACGACUACUGUUCUGGAAACGACAAUCCCAUCAAUUCGCAGUCGUGAGUCACAAAUACAGUAAAACUAUUGAAAUAAAACUAUCUACAGAUGGA